Cyprinus carpio carpio is the source of this 328-nucleotide long non-coding RNA. NCBI's taxonomy places the organism in Eukaryota, Metazoa, Chordata, Actinopteri, Cypriniformes, Cyprinidae. The record is from Ensembl.
GUUCAUCUGAGUUUUUGUGAGUUAAACGAACAUUAACGCCAUCGUCGUCUGAGACUGGAAACGGAGCUGGUGCAGAAGUUCGGCUGAUUGCGUCAUCGAACAGCGUGAGAGACUGGCUGAGAGCACGAGAGAAAAAAAGAUGUCUGGGAAGAAGGAAAAAAAGAGAGCAGUUUUUACGAGAGAAAGACACGCCAUGAUUGCUGUGUGGGAAAUCAGCAGUUUUUCAACGGAAAACGUGAAAGAAGAUAGUAAUAUACAGUUCAUCUGAGUUUUUGUGAGUUAAACGAACAUUAACGCCAUCGUCGUCUGAGACUGGAAACGGAGCUGG